GAUCCUGGCUCAGGAUGAACGCUGGCGGCGUGCUUAACACAUGCAAGUCGAACGGGAAAUAUUUCAUUGAGACUUCGGUGGAUUUGAUCUAUUUCUAGUGGCGGACGGGUGAGUAACGCGUGGGUAACCUGCCUUAUACAGGGGGGUAACGAGUCAGAAAAUAGGCGUGCUAAUAACCGCAUAAGCGCACAGAGCUGCAUGGCUCAGUGUGAAAAACUACCGGUGGUAUAAGAUGGACCCGCCG
RNAcentral lists this ribosomal RNA (244 nucleotides) under uncultured bacterium. RNAcentral describes it as "partial 16S ribosomal RNA". It matches the Rfam family "Bacterial small subunit ribosomal RNA", at positions 15 to 235 of the family's 1533-position model. The record is from RNAcentral.